RNAcentral lists this transfer RNA (73 nucleotides) under Magallana gigas (Pacific oyster). RNAcentral describes it as "Crassostrea gigas (Pacific oyster) tRNA". It matches the Rfam family "tRNA". Rfam says of the family: Transfer RNA (tRNA) molecules are approximately 80 nucleotides in length. Lineage: Eukaryota; Metazoa; Mollusca; Bivalvia; Ostreida; Ostreidae. The record is from Rfam by way of RNAcentral.
CGCCAGAUAGCUCAGUAGGUAGAGCACCAAACUAGAGAUUCAGGGGGCCCGGGUUCAAAUCCCGAUCUUGUCC